The sequence is a ribosomal RNA, 1008 nucleotides long. It matches the Rfam family "Bacterial small subunit ribosomal RNA", at positions 1 to 1000 of the family's 1533-position model.
AGAUUAAACUGAAGAGUUUGAUCCUGGCUCAGAUUGAACGCUGGCGGCAUGCCUUACACAUGCAAGUCGAACGGCAGCACGGAGCUUGCUCUGGUGGCGAGUGGCGAACGGGUGAGUAAUAUAUCGGAACGUACCCUGGAGUGGGGGAUAACGUAGCGAAAGUUACGCUAAUACCGCAUACGAUCUAAGGAUGAAAGUGGGGGAUCGCAAGACCUCAUGCUCGUGGAGCGGCCGAUAUCUGAUUAGCUAGUUGGUAGGGUAAAAGCCUACCAAGGCAUCGAUCAGUAGCUGGUCUGAGAGGACGACCAGCCACACUGGAACUGAGACACGGUCCAGACUCCUACGGGAGGCAGCAGUGGGGAAUUUUGGACAAUGGGCGAAAGCCUGAUCCAGCAAUGCCGCGUGAGUGAAGAAGGCCUUCGGGUUGUAAAGCUCUUUUGUCAGGGAAGAAACGGUGAGAGCUAAUAUCUCUUGCUAAUGACGGUACCUGAAGAAUAAGCACCGGCUAACUACGUGCCAGCAGCCGCGGUAAUACGUAGGGUGCAAGCGUUAAUCGGAAUUACUGGGCGUAAAGCGUGCGCAGGCGGUUUUGUAAGUCUGAUGUGAAAUCCCCGGGCUCAACCUGGGAAUUGCAUUGGAGACUGCAAGGCUAGAAUCUGGCAGAGGGGGGUAGAAUUCCACGUGUAGCAGUGAAAUGCGUAGAUAUGUGGAGGAACACCGAUGGCGAAGGCAGCCCCCUGGGUCAAGAUUGACGCUCAUGCACGAAAGCGUGGGGAGCAAACAGGAUUAGAUACCCUGGUAGUCCACGCCCUAAACGAUGUCUACUAGUUGUCGGGUCUUAAUUGACUUGGUAACGCAGCUAACGCGUGAAGUAGACCGCCUGGGGAGUACGGUCGCAAGAUUAAAACUCAAAGGAAUUGACGGGGACCCGCACAAGCGGUGGAUGAUGUGGAUUAAUUCGAUGCAACGCGAAAAACCUUACCUACCCUUGACAUGGAUGGAAUCCCG